This 80-nucleotide transfer RNA is filed under the name Gemmatimonadota bacterium. RNAcentral describes it as "Gemmatimonadetes bacterium tRNA-Leu". It matches the Rfam family "tRNA". From Rfam's summary of the family: Transfer RNA (tRNA) molecules are approximately 80 nucleotides in length. RNAcentral also lists the same sequence under 1 other name. The record is from RNAcentral. Lineage: Bacteria; Pseudomonadati; Gemmatimonadota.
GCGACCGUGGCGGAAUUGGCAGACGCGCCAGCCUUAGGAGCUGGUGGGGCAACCCGUGGGGGUUCGAGUCCCUGGUCGUC